UAAAAGCUACCCCGGGGAUAACAGAGUAGUCGCACCUGAGCGUCCACAGCGACGGUGCGGUUCGCUACCUCAACAUAUCGGGGUCCUCUGAGAGUGAUUUCAGAGUGCUGUUUCCCAAAUAAUAAACUCAAAUUUUAUUUGAGAAAAAAGUCAACUCAUAACGGUGAAACCCUAAUUCUUUGAACCGCCUUGAUUUCGGGUAAGUUUCGGAUUAUACUGAAAUUUAAUUGAAAAUAAGGUUAGAAAAGGGCAAUACCGUGGGAAGUUUAUCGGAAAAACAAAAAUCGUUAAUCGAAGGAUGUUUGUUGGGUGAUGGAUAUAUGCGUUGUAAAACCAAUGCACAUCUCCAAAUAACUCACAGCAUCAAACAGAAGGAUUAUGUCGAUUGGAAAUAUGAGAAUUUGUCGGAGUUUAUUUUAACUCCACCAAAAUCUUACAAAGGUAAUGGAACAAGAAUAGGUUACCGCUUCUUUACUAGAAGUUUGCCUGUUUUUACAAAUUACUUUCUUCGUUUUUAUAAAAAACAAAAGAUAAUUCCAAAAGAUCUUAAUUUAACUGCUUUAACUUUAGCUGUUUGGUACAUGGACGACGGCUCAAAAAGCGGUCGAAGCUGUUACUUAAACACGCAAAAAUUUACUUCGGUAGAUCAAGAAUUCUUGAUCAGAUUAUUGCAGAAAAAAUACAAUCUUCAGGCACGUCGAGACAAAGAUAAAAAAUAUUUUCGUCUUCGGUUUACUUUUGAAGAUUCGCAAAAGUUUGUUCGAAUUGUCGAACCAUAUAUUUUGCCAAGUAUGCGGUAUAAAAUUCUGAUAUAACCCCGUAUCGACUGAUUUCAGUUUCGCCACUGGCGAGACGAGAAUGAGAUGGAACGUUUUCCAUCAUACGUUGACCUCUCUUUUAACGAAGAGAUGAAGGUAUAGUCAAGCUAAUCAGUAAUGAUUGGAUUUAAGAGCGAUGUCGGCUCAGCGCAUCCUGGGGCUGAAGAAGGUCCCAAGGGUUGGUCUGUUCGCCCAUUAAAGCGCUACGUGAGCUGGGUUCAAACCGUUUAGAAACUAAGAAAUUGGUUUUUGAACCGUUUGAACCCUUAAAGACACAAAUUACGGCGACGAAGUAUAGGAAUAUAUUUCGUGAAAGUUAACUUAUUUCGGUGAAGUCCAGAACGGAUAAUACCGAGGGAAGAUAGAAGAAAUAUCACCCGUAGAGACUAAACGUUAACCAUCCAGAACGGAUGAAGUUAUAGUCCAAUUCACAUAGGAAUAUGUGUCAACCGAAUGCGUAAGACAGGUUGGUCUCUAUCCGCUGUCAGCGUGGGAUUUUUGAGGGAGUUUGUCUCCAGUACGAGAGGACCGAGAUGAGCCAUUCCCUGGUGUGCCAGUUGUUGUCGUCAGACGCAUUGCUGGGUAGCCACAAUGGUAUUGGAUAAUCGCUGAAUGCAUCUAAGCGAGAAGCCAUUCCUAAGAUGAGAAAUCCAUGUUUCGCAAGAAACGAAAGAACCGUAGUAGACCACUACGUUGAUAGGCAGAGAGUGUAAGCGGCGCAAGUCGUUUAGCUUAUCUGUACUAAUGUUCGAAGAGUAAAUUAAAAAU
RNAcentral lists this ribosomal RNA (1586 nucleotides) under Candidatus Collierbacteria bacterium. Its description in RNAcentral is "partial 23S ribosomal RNA". It matches the Rfam family "Bacterial large subunit ribosomal RNA", at positions 2457 to 2925 of the family's 2925-position model. Lineage: Bacteria; Candidatus Collieribacteriota. The record is from RNAcentral.